RNAcentral lists this ribosomal RNA (585 nucleotides) under uncultured bacterium. RNAcentral describes it as "bacterial SSU rRNA". It matches the Rfam family "Bacterial small subunit ribosomal RNA", at positions 8 to 643 of the family's 1533-position model. The record is from RNAcentral.
AGAGUUUGAUCCUGGCUCAGAACGAACGCUGGCGGCAGGCUUAACACAUGCAAGUCGAGCGCUCCUUCGGGGGAGCGGCGGACGGGUGAGUAACGCGUGGGAACGUGCCCUAUGGUCUGGGAUAACCGCUGGAAACGGCGGCUAACACCGGAUGAGCCCUUCGGGGGAAGGUUUACGCCAUGGGAUCGGCCCGCGUCGGAUUAGGUAGUUGGUGGGGUAACGGCCUACCAAGCCGACGAUCCGUAGCUGGUUUGAGAGGAUGACCAGCCACACUGGGACUGAGACACGGCCCAGACUCCUACGGGAGGCAGCAGUGGGGAAUCAUAGACAAUGGGCGCAAGCCUGAUCUUGCCAUGCCGCGUGGUCGAUGAAGGCCUUAGGGUUGUAAAGACCUUUCACCGGUGACGAUAAUGACGGUAGCCGGAGAAGAAGCCCCGGCUAACUCGGCGCCAGCAGCCGCGGUAAUACGGAGGGGGCUAGCGUUGUUCGGAAUUACUGGGCGUAAAGCGCACGUAGGCGGGCAUUUAAGUCGGGGGUGAAAUCCCGGGGCUCAACCCCGGAAUGGCCUUCGAUACUGGGUGCCUA